AUUCAUUUCAAGUCGCCAGUGUUCACCAUUUACUAUCAUAAAAUGAGCUUCUCAGAUAGCAGAAACAACUCCUUUCCAGGAGGGAAAAAAAAGGAAAAAAUGAAAAUGGGGCUGAUCAAGGCCUUCACAAUCCUCUGCUCAUGGUUUUUACUGGCUUCGGCAGAAAGAUCUACUUACAUAGUCCAUAUGGACAAAUCUUUGAUGCCCAAGGCUUUUUCCAGUCACCGUUAUUGGUACUCUUCCACUCUUCAAUCCGUUAAAUCAGUUGGACUGACCUCAUUAGGUGCUCAAAAUCCUUCACCAAAGCUUGUAUAUACAUAUGACCAUGCCUUUCAUGGAUUCAGUGCUGUGCUGUCCACAGAUGAAUUGGAAGCUUUGAAGAAGUCAACAGGGUUUCUUUCGGCUUAUCCAGACGGUAUUGUCAUGCCUGACACCACGCAUACUUACAAAUUUCUUUCUCUCAAUACUGCCACAGGCAUAUGGCCAGCAUCUGAGUAUGGUAAAGAUGUGAUUAUUGGUAUUAUUGACAGCGGUGUCUGGCCAGAAAGUCCGAGCUUCAAAGAUGAUGGAAUGACAGAAAUUCCUGCUAGAUGGAAGGGAAUUUGCCAGCCAGGUGAAGAGUUCAAUUCUUCAAUGUGCAAUAAGAAACUCAUAGGAGCAAGAUACUUCAAUCAGGGAGUUCAGGAAGCAAAUCCCGGGCUUACCAUAAUAAUGAAUUCUGCAAGGGAUGAUUCAGGUCAUGGCACACACGUGGCGGCCACUGCAGCUGGAAACUACGUUGAUGGUGUUUCAUUCUUUGGCUACGCUCCAGGAAUGGCGAGAGGAGUGGCUCCACGUGCUAGGCUUGCUGCAUAUAAAGUCCUCUGGAAUGAAGGAAACCUUGAAUCCGAUGUUCUCGCAGGUAUUGACCAGGCUGUGGCUGAUGGAGUUGAUGUACUGUCAAUUUCUCUGAGUUAUGGUAGGACUAAUUUGUAUGAAGAUCCUAUUGCCAUAGCUGCAUUCGGUGCCACAGAGAAGGGAAUCUUUGUUUCUACUUCAGCAGGAAACAGCGGACCAGAUUUCGGAACUUUAAUAAAAGGAAUCCCCUGGGCAGUGUUAGUGGCUUCGGGAACUGUUGAUCGUUGGUUUGCCGGGACCUUAACUCUAGGGAAUGGUUUGUCCAUCACCGGAUGGAGCUUGUUUCCCGCUAGAGCCACAAUCAGAAACUUGUCUCUCACUUACAAUGAAACCUUAUCUGCCUGCAAUUCAACUGAAUUACUGUCUGAAGCCCCUCAAGGUGGUAUCAUCAUAUGUAACCAAUCUGAUGAAACAGUAGACUUCUUUUUCCUGUGGCGGUAUCUGUCGGAAUCCAAUGUUCGUGCAGCCGUAAUCAUAUCCGAAGAUACUGGUAUACUUCGAUCAGACACUUUUCCUUUCCCAGGAGUGGUAAUUACCCCCAAAGAUGCGAAAGAUGUAAUCAACUACGCAUCUAAGAGUGCUGACCCACUUGCUAGCAUUGAGUUUCAACAAACAAUCUUGGGAACAGAGCCCAGAUCUGCUCCAGCAGUAUCGGGAUCCUCAUCAAGGGGUCCUGGACGAAGCUACCCAGGCAUACUAAAGCCAGACAUAAUGGCACCAGGAGUGUUAAUCUUAGCAGCCUACUAUCCUUAUACUAAUGUUGCAAGCAUUGGUAACAACAUAUUCUUGUCCAGUGACUACACACUCUUGUCAGGUACAUCAAUGUCUUGUCCUCAUAUAUCUGGAAUUGCAGCCCUUCUCAAAGCCACACAUCCCGACUGGAGUCCUGCAGCUAUUCGAUCCGCCAUGAUGACCACCGCAAAUCCACUUGAUAACACUCAGAAACCCAUCAAGGACAUGGGAAACGAUUAUCAAGUUGCUACGCCACUCGACAUGGGGGCAGGACAAGUUGAUCCUAAUCGCGCUCUUGAUCCAGGACUCAUUUAUGAUGCUACCCCACAAGACUACGUAAACUUUGUUUGUGCGUUGAAUUUUACUCGAGAACAAACUCAAACUAUCAUACGAUCAAGCUACAAUUGCUCAAAUUCAUCAUUGGAUCUGAAUUAUCCAUCUUUCAUCGCUCUUUACGACAUUGAAGAAAAAGGAAGUGCAUUGAAUCAAAAAUUCCACAGGACUGUCACAAAUGUAGGAGAUGGUGUUGCUACAUACAAAGUCAAAGUUAAAAGACCAAAGGAUUCUACCAUCACUGUAUCACCAGAAACAUUAGUCUUCCAAAAGAAGUACGAGAAUCGAAGCUAUUCUGUGAGCAUACGUUAUAGGAGUUACAGUAGGACUGUUAUUAACGAUGGUUCACUCACUUGGAUUGACGAGAAUGGCAAGCACUCGGUGAGGAGUCCCAUUGUGGUUACUCGACGAGUCUUUAAUGACUAGGUUUUAUGGCAUUAUAACGAUAUGUAUCCUUCAUCAUUUUAGUAGAACAUAAUCCUAUUCCAAUUCUUAAAACUAAUGCCAACUACAGGAAACAUUGGUAUGGCUAAAUUAAAAGUGCAUGGAUUAUAUUAAAAUUGAGAAAAAAAAAAUCUUCAUUUUACCCAUGCAUUUGUUCACGAAAAUGCAAUAUGUCACUAAUCAGGAUAUAUAAUCAGAUGAAUGACGAG
This 2615-nucleotide long non-coding RNA is filed under the name Olea europaea subsp. europaea. The record is from RNAcentral. Lineage: Eukaryota; Viridiplantae; Streptophyta; Magnoliopsida; Lamiales; Oleaceae.